RNAcentral lists this ribosomal RNA (539 nucleotides) under Methylobacterium sp. B28. RNAcentral describes it as "bacterial SSU rRNA". It matches the Rfam family "Bacterial small subunit ribosomal RNA", at positions 28 to 613 of the family's 1533-position model. Lineage: Bacteria; Pseudomonadati; Pseudomonadota; Alphaproteobacteria; Hyphomicrobiales; Methylobacteriaceae. The record is from RNAcentral.
AGCGAACNUGGGCGGCAGGCUUAACACAUGCAAGUCGAGCGGGCCCUUCGGGGUCAGCGGCGGACGGGUGAGUAACGCGUGGGAACGUGCCUUCCGGUUCGGAAUAACCCUGGGAAACUAGGGCUAAUACCGGAUACGCCCUUAUGGGGAAAGGUUUACUGCCGGAAGAUCGGCCCGCGUCUGAUUAGCUAGUUGGUGGGGUAACGGCCUACCAAGGCGACGAUCAGUAGCUGGUCUGAGAGGAUGAUCAGCCACACUGGGACUGAGACACGGCCCAGACUCCUACGGGAGGCAGCAGUGGGGAAUAUUGGACAAUGGGCGCAAGCCUGAUCCAGCCAUGCCGCGUGAGUGAUGAAGGCCUUAGGGUUGUAAAGCUCUUUUAUCCGGGACGAUAAUGACGGUACCGGAGGAAUAAGCCCCGGCUAACUUCGUGCCAGCAGCCGCGGUAAUACGAAGGGGGCUAGCGUUGCUCGGAAUCACUGGGCGUAAAGGGCGCGUAGGCGGCGUUUUAAGUCGGGGGUGAAAGCCUGUGGGUCAAC